UUAUUAACUCCUCGUAUUUGUUUGUAGUCGCGGGCUCGUAUUCGAUUGCCGGCUCAGCGCUGUGGUAUGCAUCUCUGAUGUUGCCUGGGCACUUUCACUUUAGUAAGUGUUAGUGAUUGUGCUGCCUUGCUGCGGGCAUUGUCUGCUGGAGCUGUUUGCUGUAGCCAUUGUCAGCGGGAGCUGCUGUGUGUCAUUACCUGCUGCUGUCUGCUGUGGCCAUUGUUUGCUGUGGCUGCUGGCAGAAAUUGAUGCUGUGCUGGAGCUGGGGGCCAAGCAUCUGACUUGGGGAUGCGGAAUUCUAUUCACCUUUCCUGUAGUGUGGAGCACGUUGGGUGUGAUUGAGAUGUGUGGCACUGACAUGUGUGGUUUGUAGUGUAGAGGAUAUUCCUAUCCCUGUACUUCCUUUGGUCGUGGUAAGCCCUUAACCCAGUUCCUUCCUAAUUUGUUGCUGGUAAUUUAAAUAAAUUAUUGCUAGCUCUUUUUUUUAUAUUGAUUCUCCAAGAAGGGAAUUCCUGGUCUGCCUGGUGGAAAAGAUGUUUUAAAAUAAUUGUCAAUAAAUCUCUAUUAAAUGAUCGUACCCCGUCUCUGGCCUUUGAGUGUGUUGAACCUGGGUGUCUUUUCUUCUCUAGGCCGUAAGUGCCAUUUUUUUUCUUAGAGGUGAAAUCACCUCUAGGUGGCGUAGUCGUGCAUUAACAAAAUUUACACCGCUCUGCCACAUUUUGGCGUAGUCAGCAGGAUUCACUUUUGAGCCAG
Pygocentrus nattereri (red-bellied piranha) is the source of this 753-nucleotide long non-coding RNA. RefSeq lists it as uncharacterized. The record is from RefSeq and is a predicted model, not a curated record. NCBI's taxonomy places the organism in Eukaryota, Metazoa, Chordata, Actinopteri, Characiformes, Serrasalmidae. The transcript is spliced from 3 exons.